UACGUAGGGUGCGAGCGUUAAUCGGAAUUACUGGGCGUAAAGCGUGCGUAGGUGGUUCGUUAAGUCUGAUGUGAAAGCCCUGGGCUCAACCUGGGAAUUGCAUUGGAUACUGGCGGGCUAGAGUGCGGUAGAGGAUGGCGGAAUUCCCGGUGUAGCAGUGAAAUGCGUAGAGAUCGGGAGGAACAUCCGUGGCGAAGGCGGCCAUCUGGACCAGCACUGACACUGAGGCACGAAAGCGUGGGGAGCAAACAGG
RNAcentral lists this ribosomal RNA (253 nucleotides) under uncultured bacterium. RNAcentral describes it as "partial 16S ribosomal RNA". It matches the Rfam family "Bacterial small subunit ribosomal RNA", at positions 524 to 776 of the family's 1533-position model. The record is from RNAcentral.